AUAUCAAUAAGCGGAGGAAAAGAAACCAACCGGGAUUGCCUCAGUAACGGCGAGUGAAGCGGCAAAAGCUCAAAUUUGAAAUCUGGCCUGUGGUCCGAAUUGUAAUUUGAAGAAGCGACUCUGGUACCGGCCCUUGUCUAUGUUCCUUGGAACAGGACGUCACAGAGGGUGAGAAUCCCGUGCGAUGGGGUGUCCGGUGCCGUGUAGAGCGUUUUCGACGAGUCGAGUUGUUUGGGAAUGCAGCUCUAAGUGGGUGGUAAAUUCCAUCUAAAGCUAAAUACAGGCGAGAGACCGAUAGCGAACAAGUACUGUGAAGGAAAGAUGAAAAGAACUUUGAAAAGAGAGUGAAAAAGUACGUGAAAUUGUUGAAAGGGAAGGGCUUGGGAUCAGACUUUGUAUUUAUAUGGCCUCCUCUCGGGGGGGUCCGCUAUUUUUACGGGGCCAGCAUGGGUUCUGCGGGAAGGACAAUGUCCUGGGAAUGUGGCUCUGCUUCGGCGGAGUGUUAUAGCCCGGGGGGAUGCUUCCACGCGGGACCGAGGACUGCGGAUCUAGGAUGCUGGCAUAAU
This 566-nucleotide ribosomal RNA is filed under the name [Candida] sp. BG01-7-23-011F-1-1. RNAcentral describes it as "eukaryotic LSU rRNA". It matches the Rfam family "Eukaryotic large subunit ribosomal RNA", at positions 40 to 635 of the family's 3401-position model. Lineage: Eukaryota; Fungi; Ascomycota; Saccharomycetes; Saccharomycetales. The record is from RNAcentral.